UGCAAGUCGAACGCGAACGGCUCCUUCGGGAGCCUAGUAGAGUGGCAAACGGGUGAGUAACGCGUGGGUAACGUACCCUGAUCCUGGGAAUAACCCUCGGAAACGAGGGCUAAUACCGAAUGUGGCGAACGACCGGUUGGUCGCUCGCUAAAGGUGGCCUCUUCUAUGCUGCCGGGUUGGGAUCGGCCCGCGUCCCAUUAGCUAGUUGGUGAGGUAACGGCUCACCAAGGCCACGAUGGGUAGCCGGCCUGAGAGGGUGUACGGCCACACUGGCACUGAGACAAGGGCCAGUCCCCUAUGGGAGGCGCAGGCGGGAAUAGUUCACAAUGGGCGAAAGCCUGAUGACGCGACGCCGCGUGAGCGAAGAAGACCUUCGGGUUGUAAAGCUCUGUCAGGAGGGAAGAAGGCUCUACGGGUCAAUAGCCCGUGGGAUUGACGGUACCUCCAGAGGAAGCCCCGGCUAAAUACGUGCCAGCAGCCGCGGUAAUACGUAUGGGGCAAGCGUUGUCCGGAUUUACUGGGCGUAAAGGGCGCGUAGGCGGUUUGUUAAGUCGAAGGUGAAAUCCUCGGGCUCAACUCGAGAAUUGCCUUCGAUACUGGCAAACUAGAGUGGCGGAGAGGAAAGCGGAACUCUUGGUGUAACGGUGGAAUGUGUAGAUAUCAAGAGGAACACCGGUGGCGAAGGCGGCUUUCUGGACGCACACUGACGCUCAGGCGCGAAAGCGUGGGUAGCAAACAGGAUUAGAUACCCUGGUAGUCCACGCCAUAAACGAUGGGUACUAGGUGUCGGGGGUAUCGACCCCUCCGGUGCCGCAGUUAACGCACUAAGUACCCCGCCUGGGGAUUAUGGUCGCAAGGCUGAAACUCAAAGGAAUUGACGGGGCCCCGCACAAGCGGUGGAGCAUGUGGUUUAAUUCGACGCAACGCGAAGAACCUUACCUGGGCUUGACAUGCUUGGGACAGCGCUGGAAACAGCGUCU
Molecule: ribosomal RNA, 980 nt
Filed under: uncultured organism
Description: bacterial SSU rRNA
Rfam family: Bacterial small subunit ribosomal RNA
Source: RNAcentral